AGCAGCCGCGGUAAUUCCAGCUCCAAUAGCGUAUAUUAAAGUUGCUGCAGUUAAAAAGCUCGUAGUUGAAUUUCGGGACUAAUAUGUCGGUCGUGCCUCCGGUACGCACUGGUUUUAUUGGUUUCUCCCUUCUGACGAACCAUGAUGUCAUUAAUUUGGUGUCAUGGGGAAUCAGGACUGUUACUUUGAAAAAAUUAGAGUGUUUAUAGCAGGCUCACGCUUGAAUACAUUAGCAUGGAAUAAUGAAAUAGGACGUUUGACCCUAUUUUGUUGGUUUCUAGGAUCGACGUAAUGAUUAAUAGGGAUAGUUGGGGGCAUUAGUAUUCAAUUGUCAGAGGUGAAAUUCUUGGAUUUAUUGAAGACUAACUACUGCGAAAGCAUUUGCCAAGGAUGUUUUCAUUAAUCAAGAACGAAAGUUAGGGGAUCGAAGACGAUCAGAUACCGUCGUAGUCUUAACCAUAAACUAUGCCGACUAGGGAUCGGAUGAUGUUAAUUUUUUAAUGACUCAUUCGGCGCCUUA
This 520-nucleotide ribosomal RNA is filed under the name uncultured Glomus. RNAcentral describes it as "SSU rRNA". It matches the Rfam family "Eukaryotic small subunit ribosomal RNA", at positions 569 to 1090 of the family's 1831-position model. The record is from RNAcentral. Lineage: Eukaryota; Fungi; Glomeromycota; Glomeromycetes; Glomerales; Glomeraceae.